UCAGCAUGGUCUCAAACCAA
Molecule: small nuclear RNA, 20 nt
Filed under: Arabidopsis thaliana (thale cress)
Lineage: Eukaryota; Viridiplantae; Streptophyta; Magnoliopsida; Brassicales; Brassicaceae
Description: snRNA_15570
Source: RNAcentral